RNAcentral lists this ribosomal RNA (253 nucleotides) under uncultured bacterium. RNAcentral's name for it is "partial 16S ribosomal RNA". It matches the Rfam family "Bacterial small subunit ribosomal RNA", at positions 524 to 776 of the family's 1533-position model. The record is from RNAcentral.
UACGGAGGGUGCAAGCGUUAUCCGGAUUCACUGGGUUUAAAGGGUGCGUAGGAGGGCAGGUAAGUCAGUGGUGAAAUCUCCGAGCUUAACUUGGAAACUGCCGUUGAUACUAUCUGUCUUGAAUAUUGUGGAGGUGAGCGGAAUAUGUCAUGUAGCGGUGAAAUGCUUAGAUAUGACAUAGAACACCAAUUGCGAAGGCAGCUCGCUACACAUAUAUUGACUCUGAGGCACGAAAGCGUGGGGAGCAAACAGG